This 307-nucleotide unclassified non-coding RNA is filed under the name uncultured fungus. RNAcentral's name for it is "sequence contains ITS1, 5.8S rRNA gene". The stretch from base 259 to 307 matches the Rfam family "5.8S ribosomal RNA", at positions 1 to 49 of the family's 154-position model. Lineage: Eukaryota; Fungi. The record is from RNAcentral.
UUUCCGUAGGUGAACCUGCGGAAGGAUCAUUGUCGAAACCUGCACAGCAGAACGACCCGCGAAUUGGUUACAACCGACGGGGGGUGGGGGGCGCUCGUCGCCCCAUCGCCCCCCCUUGCGGGCGGGGACCUCGCGUCUCUUGCCAGCAAACCGAACCCCGACGUGGAACGCGCCAAGGAAAUCGAACCAAGAGAGCCAUGCCGGAGGCCCCGGACACGGUGCGCCCCCGGCGUCGGCGUCUUACGAAUUAUUCAAAACGACUCUCGGCAACGGAUAUCUAGGCUCUCGCAUCGAUGAAGAACGCAGC